RNAcentral lists this long non-coding RNA (1491 nucleotides) under Macaca fascicularis (crab-eating macaque). Its description in RNAcentral is "lncRNA (ENSMFAG00000048342.1)". The record is from RNAcentral. Lineage: Eukaryota; Metazoa; Chordata; Mammalia; Primates; Cercopithecidae.
AUCUAAUAGGAUGGCGGGAAGGGGGAGUACUACGGGUCGCUACGAGGUUCAACCCAAGCUCUUUUAAUCUUGUUUCUCGAUGCUUCCGGAAGAGCGUAUUUAAUCUUUUUGUAAAUAUCUAAUGAUUCUCUGCAAAGCGCAUGGGGCUGCUAUAAAUGCUGAAAAAACAGCAGUGAACAAAACGGAUAAAAAUUCUUGCCCUCGUGGAGUUGAGAUUCUAGUGAAACAAGACAGAUAUUAAAACCAACAGGAGCCGGCGCCGUGGCUAGCGCCUGGAAUCUCAGGGAGCGGACCUGAGUGGUUUCCUACAAGAUGAUUGAAACCCUGUUGAAAAGAAAACUGGAUUCAGCAUGCAUUUCUUCCUUUGUUAGAUGUGCCUCGGCAGGGGACUUAUUUCUCUUAGUGAGGCUUUGUAUGAAUAUUGGACUUAUAUUCCCUUUCCACCCUUGUAUCAGGGAGUCACCUGGGAGGAGGCGGAAAUUAAGGUUUUCACCCAUAACAUUACUUGGAUGCCGUCCCCCAUAUGGACAAGGACAACAUAGAACGGGAAACAGCAAUUAUAAUCAGCACAUACCAAUUUGGAGUGGAAGCACUUCCAAUAUGUAUGGGAAUAGUCCUCAUUGUCUCCGAAAAUCGCAUGAAGCUUGGGCUGUUCGUUAUAAUCAUAGUCAUGUGGCUGCUAAUACUGUUAUUAUUGUAACUAGAAGUUUUUAAUAUAAUCAUACUGUAUAUAGUAAUGAAACUAUUCCUAGUUCUUUACUUUUUUUGUCCUAUUCUAGAGGUUUCUCCUAAUAUUGAGGUGCUGGAGUGACAACAAUGUCGGGGAACUAAACCCCGGAUUUUAUUAGAAUACAAUGGGAUGCAAAUAACUGAUUGAAGUGUGCACGGUGAUUUUCAAACAAAAUUUAGUCACAUACCUUUGAAAUGACACUGGGUAAAUAAAGUAUUGCUGCUAACAGUAAUGAAACCUUGGUAUGGUGUGAAGGAGGCCUGAAGUACAGAGUUAUUUUUGGAAGUUGUUAGUUGCAGGCGAUGCCAUUAGCACUUUUGUGGGGAAUAUGCCCCUUAAUCUUUCUAACCUGAAUAACUCCUUUCAUAUUCAGUUAUAUCGGAAUACCUCCUGAUAUAUUAUUGCUUGUGUCCGUAAGCCCUACCUAUUAUUAGCAGGAAAUUUGACAUGGGAUAAUCUUACGGGGAUUGUUAAUUGUACAGAUACGUGUACAUUUUUGUCUUGCCUCAAUCAUUCCUGGUGGCACAACUUUACUGGGGAUAUUUAUAUCCUCAGGGCUCGUAAGGAAAUUUGGCUACCUGUUAACCUUACGCGACCAUGGGGGGCAUCACCUCUUGAGACUUAUAUUUGGACUUCUCUCCAGCGAACCCUCCGUGCCCUUGGACUUAUAAUUGCCUCGGUGAUGAGCCUUGUCGCCAUCGUCUCCACUGCGGCCGUGGCAGGGCUCGCUCUUCAUCAAAGCAUACAAAAUGCUGAAUUUG